CAGGGAAGGAUGACUUGGCUGCGGGGAGAGGGAGGGGGGUCUCAGAGGAAGGGGGGACCAGGAGGGGCGGUGUUGGGGGGGGUGUUGGCUUCACGCUGGUACUAGUUUGAUUUAUCCCUAAUGAGUUCUCAGCACAUGGCUGCUCCCGGCUCACUCCGGGGGCCAGCGCGGCCUCCCGCGGGCCCCAGCCCGCCCCAACUCCAGAACAGCCGCCACUCGCUCAGAAAAGAGCCAAUUUCCACACUGCACAGUCCGCUUCACUCAAGGGGAAAUCACAUUUCCCUGGGAGGCUGCAGGCAGCGCCUCACUCCACACCUCCCCCCACAGUCUGGCCGGCUGCCACCAGGCACAGAUGCAGGGGAGCUGGGCCCCGACCUCCCUUCUCUGGCAACACAAAGCUCCACUUCCCUCCACCCACCAGACCCAGACCCCACCCCAAAUCUGCCCCAAAUCUCGGGCUGCCUCUCCACAGCUGGGGCUUACCCUUUGCUGCUUUGCAAAAGAAGGAAAAGGGGGGCUGCCCAGGGGAGGAUGCUGGCUGGGAGGGGACCAGCCUUGCCUGCUUUCUCCAGGAAGCCAAGCACCUGGUUCCAUUUGAAGGGUUUAGAGAUGUAGGAGAUAAGGCCCUCCAGCAUCUGUGUCACAAGUGCCCUCAAGAGCUGGAGGAAGAGAAUAAAGUAACGAGAAAAGAAACCAGACCGGAAGGAGAUGGGGGAGGAGAGAUGCUUUCAGCAUUUCCUGAGCAAUGGAUGCAGGACUUCUAAGUCCUCUGAAUGUUUCACUUUCUCUCUCCCAUAGGUCUCUCAGAGGCGUAGUUGUUCUGGACUUAGCAGAAGAGGGGUGGGAGUAAGAAACUUAAAGGAGAUGGAAAAAAGGAGAAGGUGAGAGGGAGAGAGAGGAGGCAGCCUUUGGGGCAUGUAGAAUGGGGCACUUUUGCCAGAAUCAGAGCUGUGGGCAGCAUGGCCAGGUCACCCCCCCACCCCACCCCCUGCCUGCGGGCGACACACAAACUGAGGCAGAGGAACAACCAGAUUCCCUGCAGGUGGACAUGCUUGAAGACCCUAAAGGCUGGAGAGAGGCUGCUAAGGAGUGGCCUGGGGGGUGGACUCAAGGUCAAGGACGGAGGCUGACCUGGCAUUUUCUUCCAUCCCCAGGGCUCCUUUUCCACCUGUAGGCUGUCCCCUGGGCCUUUCAUCCAGGAUCAUCCCUGAAGUCGGGAGUGUGUGGCAGUGCUCUUGGUGGCCACGUAACUGGCAAUCCCCACAAAGCCAUAGGAGCCUGAGGCCUCUGCCAAAGCCUGGCCAUGUCCAGCUGAUGUAGUUUUCGUCUUAGAUUAGGGUGGGGCUGUGGUCCCUGCUCCUCUGAAUAACCUUGAAAAAUGAAGCCAUCUCUUGCUCCUCAGUUUCCCCAAGUGCAAAACAGGGCCAAUGUUCAGAAUUGGAGACAAAAAUGGGUAUGAAUACGUUUUGUAAACUGACAAAAAUGAAGCCUAAUUGAAGGGUUGUUGGAAUGUCUGAGGAUGGGGGAGGGGAGGGAGGGCAGUUGAGAGGGGGUGAAGGGGGGCAGGGAGGGAACCCCAAUCCUUCUGAAGCUCAAGGCCACUGACUAGGGUGGCUAGAGAUCUCCAGCCUCCUCUCCGGCACCCACUCCCAAAGGACGAGCCUAAGAAGACUUAAAUGGGAAAGCUGUGUGUUUGGGGAGGAGGCAGGAGGGCGGGUGGGGGAGGGGACAUUUUAGGAAGCCCCUCACCUUCUCUGGCCUCUACUUCCCCAUCUGUAGACUGUGGUCACUUAGUUCUCUCAUCAGAGGUGGUCUGAGUAUAUGUCUGGCACAUGAGGGGCAGAAGGAACAUGGUUUUUAGUACCAACCGAGGGCAGGCAGAAUGUUGGCGGAGUGAGGGAGGAGCCAGAACCAGCCUGGGGGCUGACCUUGGAGCAGCAAUCCCAGCUACCCCCUACCCCCACAGGCCCUGGGGUAGGGGCCAGAGGUUUACAGGAGCUUCAGCCCUCCUUAGAAAGAUGGGUCAUUUCCCCUCCUCGUGGACCGAGGCAGGGUUCAAGCAGCUGCUCUGUCUCCCAGCAGCAAACCCACCACCCUGCGGGGGGCUGCUUGGCCAGCACAGACCGCCGUGAUCACCCGCACCCUGGGCUGGCCUGGAGGAGGAGGGGUUAGGAUGCCGGACAAGGGAGAGUGGCCUGGAAAGCUGAGGAGGCCACGUCACCCGGGCAUGAAAGGAAUGGUUCAAGGAGGCAACAGGGGGCGGCGGGGGGCUUGGGCCCUCAUCGCCCUGGCAAUGCCUCAGGCCCAGCCCUCAUCCCCAGUUCCGUCAGCGCUCUCUCAUGCCUUCAGAGAAACCAGGGCUGGGAUGGGCCACACAGCAAACCACCCCUCCCCCACUUCCCAUGCAGCUACUUGGCCCCCAGACCUUGUCCUCCCAUCAUUCUCCUCAUACUCCUUUUCGGUGACCCCCUCAUGUACCAUCCCUAUUUGUCCCAACACCACUCCUGACACUGGGGACCCUCAGAUCAUCUCUCUCUGGCAGCACGUAGAUGACUGUAGUUUCCAACCCAGCAGGGAGAUCUGUGACUUGACUGUGGACGGAGCCUCUGGAGAGGUACCAGCCAGAGCCCACCACGCAUGCACCAACACCUGCCCUGAGCAGGGUGUCCUGGGAGGCUCAGCCAAAGCACAGCCCAAGUCCCUUGUUAUUCGGGGCUUUGAGAGGCUGUUCCUAGAAAGGGUUUGGCUGCAAUGCGAAGGAUCGCUCUGCAGGAUCUUUGGGGCCCCAUCUCCAGGCGAUUCCUGUGUGGCAGGUGUCUGAGGGGGCUCAGGAGCCUGGAGGUUUGGGAUCAUGAAGAGCCUCGGAUAAUGGGGUUCAGUCCUGCCACCAUGUUCACGGCUGGAAGGAAGUCCUGUAAUUGAAAAGUGAGCCUUACCUCUGAUCUCCUAGGAAGACCUGGGGACUGGAUUUCUUUGUGGGACAGUCCCCCCCUCCCCCGUGGUUUCACAAUUCCUAUGUCAUCCUCAGUGAGCACUUUUGGCCUCUCUUUUGGGAGGACCAGGGCGGCGAGAGCUCUCAGCCUCUGCUGUCCCAGCCUGGGAAUGCCUGGGUGGGUGAGGACUCUCCUCUGCCAUUGAACUCAACCUCGGCUGUCAUCUGCCUGGCUGUCAGCACUGACCUGGGCAUCCUGCCUCUUGGUCCAGCCAGGUCCCUCACAGAGAGGGUCCACACAGAUACCAGUCAUGCACCCUCCUGGGGGCAGAGCCUUUGGAAGUCACCAUUGUAAGUUCCACCCUGUUCUCCAAAAUUUUGUAGAAGGGUUUGUCCUAAGUUUCUACAGUGGCUCCCUUGCCCCUUCCAGCCCCAGCUUCUCAAUUGCUGAAGUCUUGGCAAAUAUUUGGGAACCAUACACACACACACCAAAGAAACGGCUUUCAAUGGCAGUCCUGGGACCUCCCCUGGGUCUAGAACCCCUGGCUGAGGGACCUGUGGUACUGGGCCAAAGUCCUGGGCUUAAGCCAAGAGGACUGGAUUGACUACCACUUCCUGCCUUGGGCAAGUUCUUUCAUUUUCCCCCUGAGCCUCUGUUUCUCCAUAUGUAAAAUGGGGCGAAUGCCAACUUAGUUUAUGUGAGGCCCCCAAGCAGCAGAGGCCAGGAAAUGUCCUCCCUUCCCUCCUCUCCCACCAUGGGGAUCCUAGGUGCUGUUUAGGUGGGCUCCAAGGGAGAGCUGUUCCUGAUCUGUCACCAUCCUUCCUGGCUGAUUCUCUGGCUUCCUGUCAAUAAAAAUAGCAACUGCUUGUGGGGAGUCUGGGAUUGGCCAGGCCCCAGGCCAUGUGCUUAUUUUAUCCUGGCAUUCACUCAUUAUAGGAGCAAUCAAAGCUUGGGAAUAUGUGGUUUGCCUUGAACUUCUCUAUGGGUCAGAGGCCCUGUGCUAAGUCACAAAUCUCAAGGGCCAGGGCA
This 3962-nucleotide long non-coding RNA is filed under the name Sus scrofa (pig). RNAcentral describes it as "lncRNA (ENSSSCG00005020814.1)". The record is from RNAcentral. Lineage: Eukaryota; Metazoa; Chordata; Mammalia; Artiodactyla; Suidae.